RNAcentral lists this ribosomal RNA (253 nucleotides) under uncultured bacterium. RNAcentral's name for it is "partial 16S ribosomal RNA". It matches the Rfam family "Bacterial small subunit ribosomal RNA", at positions 524 to 776 of the family's 1533-position model. The record is from RNAcentral.
UACAGAGGGUGCGAGCGUUAAUCGGAAUUACUGGGCGUAAAGAGUGUGUAGGCGGUGUUCCCAGUCUGUUGUGAAAUCUCCCGGCUUAACUGGGAGGGUGCGCUACAAACUGUCUGACUAGAGUAUGGGAUGGGAGAGUGGAAUUCCUGGUGUAGCGGUGAAAUGCGUAGAUAUCAGGAGGAACACCGGUGGUGUAGACGGCUCUCUGGACCAUUACUGACGCUGAGACACGAAAGCGUGGGUAGCAAACAGG